Molecule: ribosomal RNA, 492 nt
Filed under: uncultured bacterium
Lineage: Bacteria
Description: partial 16S ribosomal RNA
Rfam family: Bacterial small subunit ribosomal RNA
Source: RNAcentral
GAUGAACGCUGGCGGCGUGCCUAAUACAUGCAAGUCGAACGAACAGAUAAUGAGCUUGCGCCUCUAACGGUGGCGGCGGACGGGUGGGUAACACAUGGAUAGCAUUCCUAUAAUACGGGGGGGACUUCGUGAAAAAGGAUAUGAUACCAGAGCAUAUAUUAAACCGCAGAGAGCAAGGGUUAAAGGGGGUUUGGCUGACACUUAGAGACGAAUUCGGAUUAGCUAGUUGGGUGGGUAAAGGCCCACCAAGGCAACGCAACGAAGCUGGUCUGAGAGGAUGAUCAGCCACACUGGAACUGAGACACGGUCCAGACUCCUACGGGAGGCAGCAGUGGGGAAUAUUGGACAAUGGGCGCAAGCCUGAUCCAGCCAUACCGCGUGGGUGAAGAAGGCCUUCGGGUUGUAAAGCCCUUUUGUUGGGAAAGAAAAGCAGCAGGUUAAUACCCCGCUGUUCUGACGGUACCCAAAGAAUAAGCACCGGCUAACUUCGUG